AGAGUUUGAUCCUGGCUCAGAACGAACGUUGGCGGCGUGGAUUAGGCAUGCAAGUCGAACGAAUCCCGGUGGGGGUAACUCUGCCGGGGGAAGUGGCGAAAGGGGCAGUAAGGCGUGGACAACCUGCCUUGGGGACGGGGAUAGCCCUCCUAACGGAGGGGUAAUACCCGGCGACCCGCGGGCGCGGCAUCGUGCCGGCG
RNAcentral lists this ribosomal RNA (200 nucleotides) under uncultured bacterium. RNAcentral describes it as "partial 16S ribosomal RNA". It matches the Rfam family "Bacterial small subunit ribosomal RNA", at positions 8 to 201 of the family's 1533-position model. The record is from RNAcentral.